AACGAACGCUGGCGGCAGGCUUAACACAUGCAAGUCGAACGAUCCUUCGGGAUAGUGGCAGACGGGUGAGUAACGCGUGGGAACCUUCCCUAUGGUACGGAAUAGCUCCGGGAAACUGGAAUUAAUACCGUAUAAGCCCUUCGGGGGAAAGAUUUAUCGCCAUAGGAUGGGCCCGCGUCGGAUUAGCUAGUUGGUGAGGUAAUGGCUCACCAAGGCUACGAUCCGUAGCUGGUCUUAGAGGAUGAUCAGCCACACUGGGACUGAGACACGGCCCAG
RNAcentral lists this ribosomal RNA (276 nucleotides) under uncultured bacterium. RNAcentral describes it as "partial 16S ribosomal RNA". It matches the Rfam family "Bacterial small subunit ribosomal RNA", at positions 29 to 334 of the family's 1533-position model. The record is from RNAcentral.